GGAGACUGCAGUUUGCAGUGAUGUGGCUAAGAUACCCUUGUGCUAUUAAAGGCACAUUUACGUAUCUUUCAACGCAGUUUGUACCUUUGUUUAGGGUUCUAUUGAACUUUCUCUGUGCUCUUUAGAAAACCGUCGAAUAAAGAACUCAAAUGAUGCUGUUUUUGGACAGGGAGGUCAUGGACCAAGUACAAAGCGGCAAAAGGAUGGAAUUAAGGUACCUGACAUUGUUGAACCCUUGCCUGAUGCCACAUUAGCUCAGGACUACCUACAUGGACAUGUCUUACCUGAACUCAGCGCCUUCCUCCAGUAUCUUGCUAAACAUCACCAACAACAUCCAAUUACACUGAUGAUAAUCUGUUUUUUACCCCAUUCUCUACAGCUGCAGCCUCCUUUGGAAUGGGAUUUGCCUUCCUAGUUGUUGAGUUGUCU
RNAcentral lists this long non-coding RNA (429 nucleotides) under Pan troglodytes (chimpanzee). Its description in RNAcentral is "long non-coding RNA NONPTRT013117". Lineage: Eukaryota; Metazoa; Chordata; Mammalia; Primates; Hominidae. The record is from RNAcentral.